UGUAUCUUAUUUAUUAGAAAUCAGCAGCUUGACCUUGGAGCAGCAGACCAAACAAAAAUCAAAAUUUGGUAUUUCUAGCCACCAGACUAUUCUCCUUUAAAUGUUUAGUUGACUGAAAAAAGUUAAAUUUAAACAUAUUGGCCGUGUCUACAUGGGAUGCUGACUGCGCAGUUGUUACUGCAUGGUAAGCACGGGUUUGUAGCAGAUAGGUCAUGCCUGACUAAUCUAGUCUCUUUUUACAGCCAGGUUACAAAACAUGUGGACGCAGGAGUAGGGGUUGACAUCGUCUACUUAGACUUCAGGAAGGCCUUCGAUACGGUAUCCCACUCCAUACUGUUACGGGUGCAUGAAAAGAAGUCGAAAACAUUACCCUACUGUUGAUUACUAGCAGAUGGGGAAAAGAAACUGUCUUACCCUCACAGAUUCCAAGCUCCAGAGCUGAGGAGAGGUUUUGGGGUCCUCUUUGUGAUGAACUGUGGAGAGAAAUGACUAUCCCAUUUGUUUAUUGAAAAAUUAUCAGUUAAUUGCAAUUUUCUCUAAUUGUAUUUAAAAUAACUUAUAAUGUAGAAAUUAAUGAACAAUUGCUUAAUUCAAUAUAUUUGAAAAUGUGGUCUGUUGUUACACAGAUUACAUCUAUUAAAAUAACAAACAUAAAAAAGAUUAAUAAAAUCAGUUAAGUUCUCUCAACAAACGAGAAAGACCUACCAUAACUUUUUUAAACUCUGACAUUUUUAAAUUGGAUAUACAGUAUUUUAUGUACAAAUAAUUCAAACAGUUUGCUUUGAAAUCACAUCUGUUAUACUUAGUUUUGUGAACUAAAAUUAUGCCAUUUAAAAUGGUUAUUUUUCUGCAAAAUGUAUUAAAUGUAGAUGUACUAUCAGGACAACUCUUUGCACUACAACAUACAUGCUUGGUAUCUUUAACUUAGGGUACCUGGGAAUUUGCAAUUUAUUGCUGAAUGCUGCAGCUCAUGUAGAAUAUCCCAUAGGAGAACUAACACACCUGUGAAAUUUGCAGAGAAUGUUGGUAAUAAAACUAUAACCAAGCUCAUAAAGAUGCAUGUUGAAAAAAUUAAACUUGAAAAUAAAAUGCCUCUCUGGACCAUG
Molecule: long non-coding RNA, 1106 nt
Organism: Alligator sinensis (Chinese alligator)
Lineage: Eukaryota; Metazoa; Chordata; Crocodylia; Alligatoridae
Exons: 3
Source: RefSeq, a predicted model, not a curated record